GGAACCGAGAAGGUCGCUGGCAGCCGACUCCAUCUCAUCCACUGUCAUGUGGCACGCGUCGGCGAUCUCCCGCUUUGCAAAUGCCACAAACUUUGGAUCCCGAGCGUAAAGACCGAGACCCUCUGAGAUCAGAACCUGCCGGAGAAAAACAAAACGGGGAUAAACAUCUGACUCUGUUUGACACACAGUUACUGAUCAGUGAUCAAUCAGCGAUCAAGCCUCACCGCCUCCACCAGACUGUCAGCUGACCCUCUUUUCUCAGUAAACGGUGCUCCAAGGGGCCUGCGAGGACAUAUCACAUACCUUCAGUUUUGAUUUUGAGGGCAGUGCGAACCAGAGCGAAUAGCGUGGCAUUAAAGGUUACCAUCCCGUCGGCGUUCAGAGGCAUGUUCAUUGCUACCAGACGCUGAGAUGGAGAGGAGGCGACUCUGUGAGGGCAAAGCUUCCCAAAACCCAGAGGAGGCUGAAUCCUCCGGAGCAGAGCAACAACGUCCAGGUGUUUUAUCCGUCCUCUGGGAACAAAGAACCAUCAGGAAUUUUCUGAUCAUCU
Molecule: long non-coding RNA, 550 nt
Organism: Archocentrus centrarchus (flier cichlid)
Lineage: Eukaryota; Metazoa; Chordata; Actinopteri; Cichliformes; Cichlidae
Exons: 3
Source: RefSeq, a predicted model, not a curated record